RNAcentral lists this ribosomal RNA (887 nucleotides) under uncultured bacterium. RNAcentral's name for it is "bacterial SSU rRNA". It matches the Rfam family "Bacterial small subunit ribosomal RNA", at positions 21 to 901 of the family's 1533-position model. The record is from RNAcentral.
GGCUCAGAAUCAACGCUGGCGGCGUGCCUAACACAUGCAAGUCGAACGAGAAAGUCCCCGCAAGGGGAUGAGUAAAGUGGCGAACGGGUGAGUAACACGUAGCUAACCUGCCUUCGAGUGGGGGAUAACCUGGGGAAACCCGGGCUAAUACCGCAUAACGCCCCGGGAGCACAUGCUUCUGGGGUCAAAGGCCCGCAAGGGUCGCUGGAGGAGGGGGCUGCGGCCGAUUAGCUAGUUGGUGAGGUAAUGGCCCACCAAGGCGAUGAUCGGUAGCCGGCCUGAGAGGGCGCACGGUCACACUGGCACUGAAACACGGGCCAGACUCCUACGGGAGGCAGCAGUGGGGAAUUUUGCACAAUGCCCGAAAGGGUGAUGCAGCAACGCCGCGUGAGGGAUGAAGGCCUUCGGGUCGUAAACCUCUUUCGACUGGGAAAAACGGGCGGGUGAAUAAUCCGUCCUGAUGGUACCGGUGGAAGAAGCCCCGGCUAACUACGUGCCAGCAGCCGCGGUAAUACGUAGGGGGCGAGCGUUGUUCGGAAUUAUUGGGCGUAAAGGGCGUGUAGGCGGUGCGGUAAGUCGGGCGUUAAAUCUCCAGGCUUAACUUGGAGGGGCCGUCCGAAACUGCCGUGCUAGGGUGCGGGAGAGGGCAGUGGAAUUCCCGGUGUAGCGGUGAAAUGCGUAGAUAUCGGGAGGAACAUCUGUGGCGAAGGCGGCUGCCUGGACCGCAACCGACGCUGAGGCGCGAAAGCUAGGGGAGCAAACAGGAUUAGAUACCCUGGUAGUCCUAGCCCUAAACGAUGAGCACUGGGUGUGGCCCUGCACGGGGCUGUGCCGAAGCUAACGCAUUAAGUGCUCCGCCUGGGGAGUACGGUCGCAAGGCUGAAACU